UACGAACCGUGCGAACGUUGUUCGGAAUCACUGGGCUUAAAGGGCGCGUAGGCGGGCGGCCGCGUCCGGGGUGAAAUCCCACGGCUCAACCGUGGAACGGCCUCGGAUACGGGCGGCCUCGAGGGGGGUAGGGGCAUCUGGAACUGUGAGUGGAGCGGUGAAAUGCGUUGAUAUUCACAGGAACUCCGGUGGCGAAGGCGAGGUGCUGGACCCCAUCUGACGCUGAGGCGCGAAAGCCAGGGGAGCGAACGGG
RNAcentral lists this ribosomal RNA (253 nucleotides) under uncultured bacterium. Its description in RNAcentral is "partial 16S ribosomal RNA". It matches the Rfam family "Bacterial small subunit ribosomal RNA", at positions 524 to 776 of the family's 1533-position model. The record is from RNAcentral.